This is a long non-coding RNA of Triticum urartu, 1530 nucleotides long. RefSeq lists it as uncharacterized. The record is from RefSeq and is a predicted model, not a curated record. Lineage: Eukaryota; Viridiplantae; Streptophyta; Magnoliopsida; Poales; Poaceae.
GCUAGUGUAGGCUUCGCUCAGUCCACUUUUCGCGGACUGAACCUUUCCAAUCACCAUACCCAUAAGGGUACGAUGUUCUUCCACAAUGGUGGCGCUCUGAAGCGCUCCCACCAGAGUGUCCAGCACCUCCGCAUUGACAGAGGACGCCCGGUGUUGUAGGCGCACCCCCUUCUCGCAAAGAGGGUUGCUCAUCUGUUUCUGGAAAUGUGUGGGUUUCCGGAGCGACAUUUGGUUGGGGGCCAAACUGGACAUGGCCCUCGUCUCCAGUCUCCAUAGGGUUGGUUCCCCCAUGUUCUCGGCAGCCAAGGUGUCACCCUUCGGCACCGUCUCACCAGCCUCCGGCACCUCUCCCUAUUCCGGAAGGGUCCUUUGGGACGACACCUCAGUGUUGUCUACUGCAGGGGGAGGAAGCUCGUGGAGGUGAAUCGAUGUCCAUCAUGUUCGGACCCAGCGAAUUCCCAGUAGAGGAAGAUCGCUGGGAGAGGACAUGAACCGGACUGCAACAUUCAAUUUAAGCAUGUUAUAACUAUAAGCCAGAAAAGCCGGACAUAUAUAUAUAGGGCGGGUCUAUUCUAAUAACACCCUUAAGACCUUAUUCUAAUAACACCUAUCCUUAUUCUGAUAACAAAACAACCAACUUCACGCGACUCCGAAAACUGCACGAUGCGAGAAAAAAAGCCCCUGUCCCCCACCUGCUCCACUUCCUCCCACCCACCCAACCUCCCGCACAGCCGCAUCCACCCCGAUCGGAGCCUCACCCGUCCCCUCACCUCCACCUUCCUCGCCGGCCUCCCACGGCCUCGUCCCGCGACGCCGCCCGAUCCCGCCCAUGGCCAUGGCUCUGGCCCCGCGACGGUUGGCCUGGGUGGUCCCGUCCGCCCUCACAACACCGCCCCACCCCUGGCCACGGCUACGACCCCGCCCUGCGGCGGUCGGCCUCGGCGGCCCCGGCCCUGCAGCGCCGCCCCAUCCCUGCCGCGGCUACGGCCCGCCACGCGACGGCUGGCCUCGGCGGCCCCGGCCCUGCAAUGCCACCCACCCCCAUAGCCGUCCAACGGGCACAGCCCAUGAGCCGCGGCACGGACCACGUCGAGGAUCUGCCUCUCCCUAGAUCCGUCCGGCGAGCCUCCAUGUCCUGAGCUCCGCUUCGAGGAUCCGCCUCCCUCCUACAUGGAUAGGUCCGGAAGAACGUGGUGCACUUCAGUUGGAUGCCGCAUUGCAUCUUUUUGCAGGUUCCCUGGUCAUUCAGUUUGCACGGCGAAGCCCCCUCCGUGUAGUCUGCCGGCGCAGCCAUGCAGUACAGCAAGUCCGUUGUGUGCAGUCCGUGUAAUUCUAUGUUCUGUUUGUGCAAUGUAGCAUGCGUGAUCAUGCAGUUCAGUAGUGGUUUGUGCGUGUGUAUCUUUGAACCUCACUUUGAUCUCUCGCGCACUUUGGUAUAAAAACUCCUCUCUUGUCCACUUGGUAAACAGAAAAUAAAAACAUCUGAAAGAAGGAAGCUCCCUUCUAUAUUAGAUGAAGUUCACUCGCUCA